AUGUAUCUGUUGUUCAUGCAAACUCCAUGGGGCUGCAUAGAAUAUACAUUAUUGUGAAAUGCUACAUUUUGUAUGAACUUUAAUCUUAAUGAAUGGUGCAUUUUCCUUUUAGUUGCAAUGUUGUUAAAUUAGACUAGCAUAUGAAUUAGACUAGCAUAUGCAAAUAUAUGUUAUGAUAAAUAUAAGUACAUCAUUAGGCUGA
This 202-nucleotide long non-coding RNA is filed under the name Elaeis guineensis (African oil palm). RNAcentral describes it as "long non-coding RNA (EGUI_LNC073500)". The record is from RNAcentral. Lineage: Eukaryota; Viridiplantae; Streptophyta; Magnoliopsida; Arecales; Arecaceae.